This 74-nucleotide microRNA precursor is filed under the name Poecilia formosa (Amazon molly). Its description in RNAcentral is "miRNA (ENSPFOG00000021298.1)". The record is from RNAcentral. Lineage: Eukaryota; Metazoa; Chordata; Actinopteri; Cyprinodontiformes; Poeciliidae.
GGUCCUGGACCGGGUCCUGGUCCUGGUACGGGUCCCGGUUCUGGUUCUGGUCCUGGACCCGGUCCUGGUUCUGG